RNAcentral lists this ribosomal RNA (811 nucleotides) under uncultured archaeon. RNAcentral's name for it is "bacterial SSU rRNA". It matches the Rfam family "Archaeal small subunit ribosomal RNA", at positions 85 to 878 of the family's 1478-position model. The record is from RNAcentral.
ACUGCUCAGUAACACGUGGCUAAUCUGCCCUUAGGACGAGAACAACCCCGGGAAACUGGGGCUAACUCUUGAUAGGUGAAGAACUCUGGAAUGAGUCUUUGCCUAAAUAGAUUCACGUUAUCCUCGUGAAUUUGCCUAAGGAUGAGGCCGCGACCGAUCAGGUUGUUGGCGAGGUAAUGGCUCACCAAGCCUUUUACCGGUGCGGGCCGUGGGAGCGGGAGCCCGGAGAUGGGUACUGAGACAAGGACCCAGGCCCUACGGGGCGCAGCAGUCGCGAAACCUUUGCAAUAAGCGCAAGCUUGACAGGGCUAUCCCGAGUGCCAUCCGCUGAGGAAGGCUUUUACCCAGUCUAGAACGCUGGGGGAAUAAGGAGAGGGCAAGUCUGGUGUCAGCCGCCGCGGUAAUACCAGCUCUCCGAGUGGUGUGGAUGGUUUAUUGGGCCUAAAGCAUCCGUAGCUGGCUAGGUAAGUCCCUUGUUAAAUCCACCGAAUUAAUCGUUGGAUCGCGGGGGAUACUGCUUGGCUAGGGGACGAGAGAGGCAGACGGUAUUUUCGGGGGAGGGGGGUGAAAUCCUAUAAUCCCGGGAAGACCACCAGUGGUGAAGGCUGUCUGCUAGAACGCGCCCGACGGUGAAGGAUUGAAAGCUGGGGGAGCGAACCGGAUUAGAUACCCGGGUAGUCCCAGCUGUAAACGAUGCAGACUAAGUUGUUUGGACGGCCACGUGCCGUUCUAGUGCCGCAGGGAAGCUGUUAAGUCUGCCGCCUGGGGAGUACGAUCGCAAGAUUGAAACUUAAGGAAUGGCGGGGGGGAG